RNAcentral lists this transfer RNA (86 nucleotides) under Gloeophyllum trabeum ATCC 11539. It matches the Rfam family "tRNA". Rfam says of the family: Transfer RNA (tRNA) molecules are approximately 80 nucleotides in length. Their secondary structure includes four short double-helical elements and three loops (D, anti-codon, and T loops). Lineage: Eukaryota; Fungi; Basidiomycota; Agaricomycetes; Gloeophyllales; Gloeophyllaceae. The record is from Rfam by way of RNAcentral.
GAACCCGUAGCUCAGAGGUAGAGCGUGUGAUUCCAGUAUUGGUUGGAAUCUCCACAAGGUCAUCCGUUCAAUCCGGGUCGGGUUCA